ACCGUGCAGUGGUAGCACGUGCUCCCGGUAUGAAUUAGACGCGGGUUCGAUUCCCGCCUGAGGUC
This is a non-coding RNA of Parelaphostrongylus tenuis, 65 nucleotides long. The record is from the annotation of a GenBank genome assembly. Lineage: Eukaryota; Metazoa; Nematoda; Chromadorea; Rhabditida; Metastrongylidae.